RNAcentral lists this ribosomal RNA (253 nucleotides) under uncultured bacterium. RNAcentral describes it as "partial 16S ribosomal RNA". It matches the Rfam family "Bacterial small subunit ribosomal RNA", at positions 524 to 776 of the family's 1533-position model. The record is from RNAcentral.
UACGGGGGGGGCAAGCGUUGUUCGGAAUUACUGGGCGUAAAGGGCUCGUAGGCGGCCAACUAAGUCGGAUGUGAAAUCCCCAGGCUCAACUUGGGAACUGCAUCCGAUACUGGAUGGCUUGAAUUCGGGAGAGGGAUGCAGAAUUCCAGGUGUAGCGGUGAAAUGCGUAGAGAUCCGGAGGAACACCGAAGGCGAAGGCAGUGUCCUGGCGCGUAACUGACGCUGAGGUGCGAAAGCCAGGGGAGCGAACGGG